UGAUACUCUGCGUAACACCACUAAAGUGUCCUGAUUCUUUACACCUCUUAUAAUGAAAUCAGAGUCCAGACGCCGCUCUUUAGGAAAAUCUCCACAGACUCCUGCUGCUACUGGCUCAAAGCUGGGUAACGUCCUCUUCCAAACCAACAGAUGGUGCUAUUGGUUAAUUUUUACUAGUCUCUCGAGCGAAGCAUUACAACACGCAUUGCAUUACAUUACACCAGGGAUACAACCAUCAAAAUGAGAGGGGAACAGGUGAGGUUCUUUCAGUAAAUGACUAAUGAAACCUUUCCUUUUUUGUGUGUAAAAAUGUUAUUUCUACAUCUAGACAGCCAGCCACAUUACCAUUACAAAUGCUGGCUAUAUUUUCUCAAAGAUUUUUAGAAUGGAUUGUAUUUAUUUGUGAAAUAUGAUGUAGGUUAAUAUUUUUAUGUAUAUAUGUUUGUGAAACACAGGACAUAUUUGUUACACCUCUGCGUUUUUUGUAAAAUUCCAGUCUGUAUUUGCUUAUCGCUUUGUUUGAGAGUCGAGUUUUCCUUUGCAAAGCAGAUUGUGUUUGUUUGCAAAAUGGUAGAUUUAUUUGUUUUGUAUUGGCACAAAUUUAUGUCCAUAAUGUGAGCUGUAGGACCAGAGUGCUGUAAACUUUCUGCCACUUAUGGAUAAUAUCCACAAUUUCAGACAAGAGUGCUGAAUGGAUGCCAUUUAUUCCAGUCCAUUUUACUUCCACAGA
Ictalurus furcatus (blue catfish) is the source of this 730-nucleotide long non-coding RNA. RefSeq lists it as uncharacterized. Lineage: Eukaryota; Metazoa; Chordata; Actinopteri; Siluriformes; Ictaluridae. The transcript is spliced from 3 exons. The record is from RefSeq and is a predicted model, not a curated record.